Molecule: ribosomal RNA, 446 nt
Filed under: uncultured bacterium
Lineage: Bacteria
Description: partial 16S ribosomal RNA
Rfam family: Bacterial small subunit ribosomal RNA
Source: RNAcentral
CCUACGGGAGACAGCAGUCGAGAAUCAUUCACAAUGGGGGAAACCCUGAUGGUGCGACGCCGCGUGGGGGAAUGAAGGUCUUCGGAUUGUAAACCCCUGUCAUGUGGGAGCAAAUUAAAAAGAUAGUACCACAAGAGGAAGAGACGGCUAACUCUGUGCCAGCAGCAGCGGGAAUACAGAGGUCUCAAGCGUGGUUCGGAAUCACUGGGCGUAAAGCGUGCGGAGGCUGUUUCGUAAGUCGUGUGUGAAAGGCGCGGGCUCAACCCGCGGACGGCACAUGAUACUGCGAGACUAGAGUAAUGGAGGGGGAACCGGAAUUCUCGGUGUAGCAGUGAAAUGCGUAGAUAUCGAGAGGAACACCCGUGGCGAAGGCGGGUUCCUGGACAUUAACUGACGCUGAGGCACGAAGGCCAGGGGAGCGAAAGGGAUUAGAUACCCGUGUAGUC